GAUGAACGCUGGCGGCGUGCCUAAUACAUGCAAGUCGAGCGAACAGACGAGGAGCUUGCUCCUCUGACGUUAGCGGCGGACGGGUGAGUAACACGUGGAUAACCUACCUAUAAGACUAGGAUAACUUCGGGAAACCGGAGCUAAUACCGGAUAAUAUAUUGAACCGCAUGGUUCAAUAGUGAAAGACGGUUUUGCUGUCACUUAUAGAUGGAUCCGCGCCGCAUUAGCUAGUUGGUAAGGUAACGGCUUACCAAGGCAACGAUGCGUAGCCGACCUGAGAGGGUGAUCGGCCACACUGGAACUGAGACACGGUCCAGACUCCUACGGGAGGCAGCAGUAGGGAAUCUUCCGCAAUGGGCGAAAGCCUGACGGAGCAACGCCGCGUGAGUGAUGAAGGUCUUCGGAUCGUAAAACUCUGUUAUUAGGGAAGAACAAAUGUGUAAGUAACUAUGCACGUCUUGACGGUACCUAAUCAGAAAGCCACGGCUAACUACGU
This 496-nucleotide ribosomal RNA is filed under the name uncultured bacterium. RNAcentral describes it as "partial 16S ribosomal RNA". It matches the Rfam family "Bacterial small subunit ribosomal RNA", at positions 28 to 506 of the family's 1533-position model. The record is from RNAcentral.